RNAcentral lists this ribosomal RNA (516 nucleotides) under uncultured bacterium. RNAcentral describes it as "bacterial SSU rRNA". It matches the Rfam family "Bacterial small subunit ribosomal RNA", at positions 355 to 887 of the family's 1533-position model. The record is from RNAcentral.
UGGGGGAUCUUGCACAAUGGGGGAAACCCUGAUGCAGCGACGCCGCGUGAGCGAUGAAGCCCCUCGGGGCGUAAAGCUCUUUCGGCCCGAACGAUAAUGACGGUACGGGAAGAAGAAGCUGCGGCUAACUACGUGCCAGCAGCCGCGGUAAUACGUAGGCAGCAAGCGUUGUUCGGAGUUACUGGGCGUAAAGAGUGCGUAGGCGGUGUCGAAAGUUUGGCGUGAAAUCUCCCGGCUUAACUGGGAGGGUGCGCCGAAAACUGCGAUGCUGGAGUGUGGGAAAGGCAAGCGGAAUUCCUGGUGUAGCGGUGAAAUGCGUAGAUAUCAGGAGGAACACCGGCGGUGUAGACGGCUUGCUAGACCAUAACUGACGCUGAGGCACGAAAGCGUGGGUAGCAAAACAGGAUUAGAUACCCUGGUAGUCCACGCCCUAAACGAUGCAUACUUGGUGUGGGCAGUUCAUUCUGUCCGUGCCCGGAGCUAACGCGUUAAGUAUGCCGCCUGGGGAGUACGGUC